AAUUAAGUACUAAUACAUAUUACUAAGUUCACUGUGCAAGCUAUGAAUCCGAACCUGCACGCAUGAGGACGGGUGGCUAUUGUUGCUAUCCACACCGGUAAACGAUUCUGUAAGUAAUCUACUACUGAUACAUGUUACAAAGUUCACUGUGCAAGCUAUGACUUCGAACCUGCACGCAUGAGUACGGGUGACUAUUGUUGCUAUCCACACCCGUAAACGAUUCUGAUUUAUAGACGACAAACAGCCAUAACUUAUUAGCAGCAACUAAAAUGUGUUUGUAUUGGUACAAGGGAUUAUCAUCAUGUAUUGUUUUAUAAUCAUCAACUUUUGUUUUUUAUAAAUAAAAUAUGAAAAACGUCA
Mytilus californianus (California mussel) is the source of this 360-nucleotide long non-coding RNA. RefSeq lists it as uncharacterized. NCBI's taxonomy places the organism in Eukaryota, Metazoa, Mollusca, Bivalvia, Mytilida, Mytilidae. The record is from RefSeq and is a predicted model, not a curated record. The transcript is spliced from 2 exons.